RNAcentral lists this ribosomal RNA (16 nucleotides) under Poriella subacida. RNAcentral describes it as "partial 18S ribosomal RNA". Lineage: Eukaryota; Fungi; Basidiomycota; Agaricomycetes; Polyporales; Polyporaceae. The record is from RNAcentral.
CGUAGGUGAACCUGCG